Molecule: ribosomal RNA, 480 nt
Filed under: uncultured bacterium
Lineage: Bacteria
Description: partial 16S ribosomal RNA
Rfam family: Bacterial small subunit ribosomal RNA
Source: RNAcentral
GAUGAACGCUGGCGGCGUGCUUAACACAUGCAAGUCGAACGAAGCACUUUAUUUGAUUUCCUUCGGGACUGAUUAUUUUGUGACUGAGUGGCGGACGGGUGAGUAACGCGUGGGUAACCUGCCUUGUACAGGGGGAUAACAGUUGGAAACGGCUGCUAAUACCGCAUAAGCGCACGGCAUCGCAUGAUGCAGUGUGAAAAACUCCGGUGGUAUAAGAUGGACCCGCGUUGGAUUAGCUAGUUGGUGAGGUAACGGCCCACCAAGGCGACGAUCCAUAGCCGACCUGAGAGGGUGACCGGCCACAUUGGGACUGAGACACGGCCCAAACUCCUACGGGAGGCAGCAGUGGGGAAUAUUGCACAAUGGGCGAAAGCCUGAUGCAGCGACGCCGCGUGAGCGAAGAAGUAUUUCGGUAUGUAAAGCUCUAUCAGCAGGGAAGAUAAUGACGGGACCUGACUAAGAAGCACCGGCUAAAUACGU